GUGAAUCAUCGAAUCUUUGAAAGAAAAUUGCACUCUCUGGUAUUCCGGAGAGUAUGCCUGUUUGAGGGUCAGUUUAAAUAACAAUCGGUGUGGUUGCUGCCUUUCGUGGUGAUGCACCGGAUUUGGGUCGUCUUGCCUUCGGUUAAGUGAACUUUAAUUUUGCAUGAUUUUUUUCGAUCGUAAUUAAAUGAUUUUACGUACGUUUGCGAUAUAGAAUACUAGUUGUAGUUAUACUCAUGAUUAGCGACUAUAAUUUUUCAACCAAAUGAACAUAAAUCAGGUAAGAGUAC
RNAcentral lists this unclassified non-coding RNA (290 nucleotides) under Glomus sp. Its description in RNAcentral is "partial contains 5.8S ribosomal RNA and internal transcribed spacer 2". The stretch from base 1 to 71 matches the Rfam family "5.8S ribosomal RNA", at positions 84 to 154 of the family's 154-position model. Lineage: Eukaryota; Fungi; Glomeromycota; Glomeromycetes; Glomerales; Glomeraceae. The record is from RNAcentral.